Alnus glutinosa is the source of this 517-nucleotide long non-coding RNA. RefSeq lists it as uncharacterized. The record is from RefSeq and is a predicted model, not a curated record. The transcript has 2 exons. NCBI's taxonomy places the organism in Eukaryota, Viridiplantae, Streptophyta, Magnoliopsida, Fagales, Betulaceae.
CUUUCCAUUGCACGGCACUUCAUUAUUUCUCCUUUUCCAUUCUUUCUUUUCCUUUUCUUUAUGUCUUUCUCCCUUCUACUCUCCCUCACACUCAUGCACACACUAACGCACAGAGAGUAAGAAAGAGAGGGAGAGAAAUACUGUGAAGGUGCCGAGAAAAGGAAGAAGAAAAAGAGAAGGAAAAAGAAGAAGAGAAGAAAGAAGGGGGGAAUCCGGCCAUAGGUGAUUUUUGAGAUACUGAUGUUUUGGCUGCAGGAUCAGCGGAUCUAGAGGAUGACCCCAUAGCACGGUAUUUGGGGUACUGUGACUGAGGCAUAUCGCUGGUGUCGUAGCUAUGUGGACUUGGGCGUCCCAUUUUGGUAGUCUUUUGCUGUUGGCUCGUGUCCUACGUGACACUUGUAUUUUGUAGAGCCAGUCUUUUGGUAUGUAAUUAAUGUUAAGUUUAAGCCUUAAACAUAUAGACUUAUGUAUGGCUCUUUAUAAUUAGCAAUUAUGUUAUAGAAGUGUUUUUCCGCUA